This 55-nucleotide transfer RNA is filed under the name Allodiplogaster sudhausi. RNAcentral describes it as "tRNA-Ala". Lineage: Eukaryota; Metazoa; Nematoda; Chromadorea; Rhabditida; Diplogasteridae. The record is from RNAcentral.
GGGGUUUUAUUUUAAUUAAAAAUUUAUAUUUUGCAGAUAUAAGAUUAUAACUCUA